RNAcentral lists this non-coding RNA (90 nucleotides) under Ralstonia pseudosolanacearum GMI1000. Lineage: Bacteria; Pseudomonadati; Pseudomonadota; Betaproteobacteria; Burkholderiales; Burkholderiaceae. The record is from RNAcentral.
GUCUCUGGCGGGCCGGGCGGGGCAGCCGUGUGCUGGCCGGUUUCCUAGAACGCCGGUUUUUCCACCCCCGCCGCCGGGCCCGCCACCCUC